RNAcentral lists this ribosomal RNA (209 nucleotides) under uncultured bacterium. RNAcentral describes it as "partial 16S ribosomal RNA". It matches the Rfam family "Bacterial small subunit ribosomal RNA", at positions 524 to 732 of the family's 1533-position model. The record is from RNAcentral.
UACGAAGGGGGCUAGCGUUGCUCGGAAUGACUGGGCGUAAAGGGCGCGUAGGCGGAUGGUACAGUCAGAUGUGAAAUUCCCGGGCUUAACCUGGGGGCUGCAUUUGAUACGUGCGAUCUGGAGUGAGGAAGAGGGUCGUGGAAUUCCCAGUGUAGAGGUGAAAUUCGUUAGAUAUUGGGAAGAACACCGGUGGCGAAGGCGGCGCCUGG